This 465-nucleotide ribosomal RNA is filed under the name Vreelandella stevensii. RNAcentral's name for it is "partial 16S ribosomal RNA". It matches the Rfam family "Bacterial small subunit ribosomal RNA", at positions 338 to 795 of the family's 1533-position model. The record is from RNAcentral. Lineage: Bacteria; Pseudomonadati; Pseudomonadota; Gammaproteobacteria; Oceanospirillales; Halomonadaceae.
CCUACGGGUGGCAGCAGUGGGGAAUAUUGGACAAUGGGGGCAACCCUAAUCCAGCCAUGCCGCGUGUGUGAAGAAGGCCCUCGGGUUGUAAAGCACUUUCAGUGAGGAAGAACGCCUGGUGGUUAAUACCCAUCAGGAAAGACAUCACUCACAGAAGAAGCACCGGCUAACUCCGUGCCAGCAGCCGCGGUAAUACGGAGGGUGCGAGCGUUAAUCGGAAUUACUGGGCGUAAAGCGCGCGUAGGUGGCUUGAUAAGCCGGUUGUGAAAGCCCCGGGCUCAACCUGGGAACGGCAUCCGGAACUGUCAAGCUAGAGUGCAGGAGAGGAAGGUAGAAUUCCCGGUGUAGCGGUGAAAUGCGUAGAGAUCGGGAGGAAUACCAGUGGCGAAGGCGGCCUUCUGGACUGACACUGACACUGAGGUGCGAAAGCGUGGGUAGCAAACAGGAUUAGAUACCCGUGUAGUC